Molecule: ribosomal RNA, 868 nt
Filed under: uncultured eukaryote
Lineage: Eukaryota
Description: bacterial SSU rRNA
Rfam family: Eukaryotic small subunit ribosomal RNA
Source: RNAcentral
GUGCCAAGCAGCCGCGGUAAUUCCAGCUCCAAUAGCGUAUAUUAAAUUUGUUGCAGUUAAAAAGCUCGUAGUUGUAUACCUACGUAGCACUUCGAUAUAGUUAUUAACUAGACGAAAUGCUGGUAUUUGAGCACGGGAUCAUCUUACGCUUAAUUGUCGUACUGAUGCUCAACGUGCAUUUUACUUUGAGGAAAUUAGAGUGUUCCAAGCAAACAUGGUUGUGAAUAUAAUAGCAUGGGAUAAUAUUUUUUUGACCUGGAGUCGAAGUGUAAGCUUUGAUUCCACGGUAAUUUCGAAAGGGAUAUCUGGGGGCAUUCGUAUUAAGCUGUCAGAGGUGAAAUUCUUAGAUUUUCUUAAGACGAACAAAUGCGAAGGCAUCUGCCAAAGAUGUUUUCAUUGAUCAAGAACGAGAGUUAAGGGAUCGAAGACGAUUAGAUACCGUCCUAGUCUUAACAGUAAACUAUGCCACCUAAAGAUUGGGAGACGUUCUUUACGCUCUCAGUAUUUUAUGAGAAAUCAAAGUCGUUGGGUUCUGGGGGGAGUAUGGUCGCAAGACUGAAACUUAAAGGAAUUGACGGAAGGGCACCACCAGGAGUGGAGCCUGCGGCUUAAUUUGACUCAACACGGGGAAUCUUACUAGGUCCAGACAAAGGGAGGAUUGACAGUUUGAGAGCGCUUUCUUGAUUCUUUGGGUGGUGGUGCAUGGCCGUUCUUAGUUGGUGGAGUGAUUUGUCUGGUUAAUUCCGUUAACGAACGAGACCUUAGCCAUCUAAAUAGUAUUUUAAACAUCAUUUUAAUAUGCUUCUUAGAGGGACUGUGUGUUUGAGCACAAUGAAGUUUAAGGCAAUAGCAGGUCUGUGAUGCCCAA